This 492-nucleotide ribosomal RNA is filed under the name uncultured bacterium. Its description in RNAcentral is "partial 16S ribosomal RNA". It matches the Rfam family "Bacterial small subunit ribosomal RNA", at positions 29 to 507 of the family's 1533-position model. The record is from RNAcentral.
AGUGAACGCUGGCGGUAGGCCUAACACAUGCAAGUCGAACGGCAGCACAGUAAGAGCUUGCUCUUACGGGUGGCGAGUGGCGGACGGGUGAGGAAUACAUCGGAAUCUACUUUUUCGUGGGGGAUAACGUAGGGAAACUUACGCUAAUACCGCAUACGACCUACGGGUGAAAGCAGGGGAUCUUCGGACCUUGCGCGAUUGAAUGAGCCGAUGUCGGAUUAGCUAGUUGGCGGGGUAAAGGCCCACCAAGGCGACGAUCCGUAGCUGGUCUGAGAGGAUGAUCAGCCACACUGGAACUGAGACACGGUCCAGACUCCUACGGGAGGCAGCAGUGGGGAAUAUUGGACAAUGGGCGCAAGCCUGAUCCAGCCAUCCCGCGUGGGUGAAGAAGGCCUUCGGGUUGUAAAGCCCUUUUGUUGGGAAAGAAAAGCAGCAGGUGAAUACCCCGCUGUUCUGACGGUACCCAAAGAAUAAGCACCGGCUAACUUCGUG